RNAcentral lists this ribosomal RNA (1003 nucleotides) under Paraburkholderia sp. Its description in RNAcentral is "bacterial SSU rRNA". It matches the Rfam family "Bacterial small subunit ribosomal RNA", at positions 87 to 1081 of the family's 1533-position model. Lineage: Bacteria; Pseudomonadati; Pseudomonadota; Betaproteobacteria; Burkholderiales; Burkholderiaceae. The record is from RNAcentral.
GGUGGCGAGUGGCGAACGGGUGAGUAAUACAUCGGAACGUGUCCUGUAGUGGGGGAUAGCCCGGCGAAAGCCGGAUUAAUACCGCAUACGCUCUACGGAGGAAAGGGGGGGAUCUUAGGACCUCCCGCUACAGGGGCGGCCGAUGGCAGAUUAGCUAGUUGGUGGGGUAAAGGCCUACCAAGGCGACGAUCUGUAGCUGGUCUGAGAGGACGACCAGCCACACUGGGACUGAGACACGGCCCAGACUCCUACGGGAGGCAGCAGUGGGGAAUUUUGGACAAUGGGGGCAACCCUGAUCCAGCAAUGCCGCGUGUGUGAAGAAGGCCUUCGGGUUGUAAAGCACUUUUGUCCGGAAAGAAAACGCCGUGGUUAAUACCCGUGGCGGAUGACGGUACCGGAAGAAUAAGCACCGGCUAACUACGUGCCAGCAGCCGCGGUAAUACGUAGGGUGCAAGCGUUAAUCGGAAUUACUGGGCGUAAAGCGUGCGCAGGCGGUCCGCUAAGACAGAUGUGAAAUCCCCGGGCUUAACCUGGGAACUGCAUUUGUGACUGGCGGGCUAGAGUAUGGCAGAGGGGGGUAGAAUUCCACGUGUAGCAGUGAAAUGCGUAGAGAUGUGGAGGAAUACCGAUGGCGAAGGCAGCCCCCUGGGCCAAUACUGACGCUCAUGCACGAAAGCGUGGGGAGCAAACAGGAUUAGAUACCCUGGUAGUCCACGCCCUAAACGAUGUCAACUAGUUGUCGGGUCUUCAUUGACUUGGUAACGUAGCUAACGCGUGAAGUUGACCGCCUGGGGAGUACGGUCGCAAGAUUAAAACUCAAAGGAAUUGACGGGGACCCGCACAAGCGGUGGAUGAUGUGGAUUAAUUCGAUGCAACGCGAAAAACCUUACCUACCCUUGACAUGUAUGGAAUCCUGCUGAAAGGUGGGAGUGCCCGAAAGGGAGCCAUAACACAGGGUGCUGCAUGGCUGGUCGUCAGCUUCGUGUCGGUGAGAUGUUGGGGU